UCCAGGUCUCUCUUGCUAUGCAAAUAGAAACUGGCUUUUCAAAUGAGGUUCUUGUCCAACUGAGGUCUCCGUAUGUGGGAGAAUGGUACAGGAAGAUCUUGGGUAGCAGCUAUUUUUAAUGCAGCAGGUGAGUGUGGGAAGCUACAUGCAUUAAAAGGCCAAAUUCUUUUGCUUUUGUUAAUGCUGAGUGGGACCUCCUGUGAGAGCUGCAGAUGAAAUGCAUUGCUCAUUACAAGAAUGGAUGUCAGAGUCUGAUCCAAGGACUAAUUCCCAGUUCUCUUCCCCAGAAUUUAGCAUUAUAGUAACAGUUAAAGCAAGUUCAUAGUAUGUUGUGGUUCUUCUGGAAAGUAAUGGAGAUGGUGUUACAUUUUCAUGACAAGAGUACUGAGAUAGUGUCACCUUUGAAAA
Coturnix japonica (Japanese quail) is the source of this 408-nucleotide non-coding RNA. Lineage: Eukaryota; Metazoa; Chordata; Aves; Galliformes; Phasianidae. The record is from RefSeq and is a predicted model, not a curated record.